Molecule: small RNA, 183 nt
Filed under: Chelonoidis abingdonii (Abingdon island giant tortoise)
Lineage: Eukaryota; Metazoa; Chordata; Testudines; Testudinidae
Description: TUC338 (ENSCABG00000003750.1)
Source: RNAcentral
CUGACAGUCUUGGAGACUGAAAUCCUCUCUAUAUCCCCAGAAGAGGUGCAGUGUAGAGACCAGCUCUCUCCCCCCCCCCCACACACACACACACUAGUCCCUGCCACUGUGUCUCAGUCCUUCUCGGAGGAACCAGUUGAGAGGGAAGUUCAGUCUCCAUGGUCCAUGCAGUCCUUGGGCACU